Non-coding RNA from Pelobates cultripes (western spadefoot toad), 247 nucleotides. Lineage: Eukaryota; Metazoa; Chordata; Amphibia; Anura; Pelobatidae. The record is from the annotation of a GenBank genome assembly.
UCUCACCCAGAUCAGAGCUACCAGGGGAUGUAACAUUUAAAGGGGUACCCCUAGGUUUAGGGGUACAUCCAGAAACUCAGGGAAUUUGUGUGCUGUAUAAGGGGAUUAUGAGUCAGGCUUAGGGGAGGAGAUGUGUGGGAGGUUACUCAGGUAUGAUUGGACACUGUACUAAUGACUGUAAAUCCCUCCCUUGCAUGGGAGAAUGCUUUAUAAGGCCACUGUGUGAAUAAAAGUUCAGUUCUGCUCC